RNAcentral lists this long non-coding RNA (1039 nucleotides) under Lynx pardinus (Iberian lynx). Lineage: Eukaryota; Metazoa; Chordata; Mammalia; Carnivora; Felidae. The record is from RNAcentral.
GGGGGCAGAGAGAAAGCAGGAGAAAGCAGGAGCCUUUCUUCUUCAUCCCCCUUGGGGAGCUAAUUACAGGCCAGCAGCCCACUGCACAGGUGAGUGCCUGGGACAGCCACCCGCACACCAGGACAGGGCACCCAGCCUCUCCUGGGAAGGGGCUGAACUAGAGAUGGGGGAGGGUGCUAGGGGAGAGACACUUCCGACAUCCUCAUCUCAGGGCCCAUAAUUAGUCUGUGGGAUGAGAGCAAAACAACCAUCCUCAGGGUGACAGCCAGACAUUCAGGCGGCAUGGAGCGUGGGGUGGGGGCAGGGCAGGGAGGAGGGACAGAGGCUGGGGCCACAGGAACCCACUCAUCCACCCCACUAGCAUUUCUCCCCGGAACCUUGGUCUCCUCCUGCCUCCUGGACUCUGCCCCAGAGGGGCCCAGUGAAUCCAACAGACCGGGAGGCAAGGUUCUAUUUGCCAAGGGAGGGGUACCCGCCUGAGCUUAUUUCCUGCUUCACUUUGGGAGGAAAGCAGGAGAGGGGGCCAGGCCAGAGCAAAAGCGGAGAAGUUUCCCAUCAGGGCACCCUCGCCAGCCGCCUACCCACGAGCCCAUCGUCUGGCCCGGAGGCAGGGCCAGGGAGGGAGCUGCCAGAGCUGUUUGCCCAGACAGGCCUGUUGGGUGGGGCUGUCAACAAGGAGCAGGGAGAGGGCAGCCGUCUCAUGGGGUCUCACCCUGUGCUACCCUAUCUGCCAUAGGGUUCCCUGAUCUGCCCACCCCUCAAGAGUUCAGCCAACCACGUGUGGCAGCCCCCAGCCAGCAUUCCAGGGAAGACGAGUCUGAUCACAGGUGAGCCUUGGUGACCAACAGCCCAAGGACAUCACUGGGAUGCUCUGGAGGAGCUGGAGACAAGGUGUGGACCAUACGAUGAGGCCACAGAGGGCGAGGGCUCUCAGGAACCCCUGCUACCCCACAGCUAAGCCCAUACAUCCUCCGAGGAUCUCUGUCUUCUGUGGGGAUCAUCAUAUGGGGACGCAAUGAAGGAACUUAAAGAUCUACGA